UCGUACAAAAUGUGAGGGGCAUGCGAGGGCUGUCGCUGACCCAAAAGUCGUGCACGCCCGAGUGUGUCCUCUUGCAUAAUAAUCCAUCUCACCCUUUGUGCAUCACCGCGUGGGCACCCUUCGGGAUCAUCUCGGAGGGGGGCUCGCGUUUUCACACAAACCCCCCUUUUAAAAGUGUAGAAUGACCACAUUUAUGCAAUCAAUAC
RNAcentral lists this unclassified non-coding RNA (206 nucleotides) under Lactarius tabidus. RNAcentral describes it as "internal transribed spacer 1". The record is from RNAcentral. Lineage: Eukaryota; Fungi; Basidiomycota; Agaricomycetes; Russulales; Russulaceae.